Molecule: non-coding RNA, 21 nt
Filed under: Arabidopsis thaliana (thale cress)
Lineage: Eukaryota; Viridiplantae; Streptophyta; Magnoliopsida; Brassicales; Brassicaceae
Source: RNAcentral
UAGAGGUACUUUUCUCUCUCU